Small nuclear RNA from Lycium ferocissimum, 104 nucleotides. Lineage: Eukaryota; Viridiplantae; Streptophyta; Magnoliopsida; Solanales; Solanaceae. The record is from RefSeq and is a predicted model, not a curated record.
UGUCCCUUUGAGACAUCCGAUAAACAUUGGAACGAUAUAGAGAAGAUCAGCAUGGCUCCUGCAAAAGGAUGACACACGUAAAUCGAGAAAUGGUUCACAUUUAA